ACUUGUCCCUAAAGCUUAACAGGAUUACGAAUGGACGUCACCCAUUCAACUCUAACAGAUAAUGCACUCUUUCUUUCUUUUAUUUUCUUCUCUCUCUCUCUCUCUAGUUUGAACUAAGCGAGAAAUGGCUGUUGCUAUGGCUGCUUGCAGUCUUGGGCUUCACUUAACUACUGCUGACAACAGCUUCAGCAUCAGACCUCUGGAUAAAACCAUUAGCAUUGCUAAAACAUGUUACAUUCUUCACAAAACAAGAUGGUCAUCUUCGAGAAUUACAAUCAUCCGUCGAGCAACACCUCUAACCGAUGUGAUGAAGGAGGAUGGAAAUCAAGGUGAUGCGGAUGCUACCGUUCCUACUCCCAUUGUCAUAAUAGAUCAAGAUUCCGAUCCAGAUGCAACCGUCGUCGAGAUUACCUUUGGUGAUCGCCUUGGCGCUCUUCUUGACACUAUGAAUGCGCUCAAAAAUUUAGGCCUCAAUGUUGUUAAGGCAAACGUUUUUCUCGACUCCUCUGGCAAGCACAACAGGUUUUCCAUUACCAAAGCUGAUACCGGAAGGAAAGUAGAAGAGGCAGAGUUGUUGGAGGCAAUCCGUUUGACAAUCAUAAAUAACUUGAUUCAGUAUCACCCGGAAUCUAGUGCCCAAUUAGCUCUGGGAGCAGCUUUUGGACUUGUGCCUCCAAAGGUGCAGGUAGAUGUGGACAUAGCGACCCAUAUAACAAUAUCUGACGAUGGCCCUGCUAGAAGUUUGCUGUACGUGGAGACAGCUGAUCGGCCCGGAUUACUGGUGGAUCUGGUUAAGAUCAUCACUGACAUUAACAUUGCUGUUGAAUCCGGGGAGUUUGACACAGAGGGGCUGUUGGCUAAAGCAAAGUUCCAUGUCAGCUACAAGGAUAAAGCCAUCAUCAAGCCUCUCCAGCAGGUUCUUGCUAACAGCUUGAGGUAUUACUUGAGGCGACCUUCAACGGAGGAAGCCAGUUUCUGAUCCAGCCAACGCCUAUGCCUGCGCUCACGUUAUGAAUCGAUUGGUGGAAUGCGCGUAUAGCCUAUAAUAUCCAUCUUGAUUCCAAUAGCAUGGAGAAAUUCAAGUGAAAUAUAGCAUGUCUUGGCAAUUUACAGUGCUGGACAUGUAUCAUAUGGGCAGCAAGAUAUUAAUAUGGAAAUUGCAGACAUGCUAACAACUCAAAUUUCGAAUUAGUGGACGCUAGCCAGAUGCCAACUUCAAGUUGCAAAAUGACUCAAAACUUGGAGCAUAUAUGCCUUUGAUUCUCCUUUUUGAAUUUCCCUUUGGAGGUCAUAUUCGAUUUGCGCUAUUUGCUCUAUUGACAUAUGACAAUGGCAAAACAAAAACUAUUCUCGCAACACAUGUUUGGUUAAUCAUCUUCUGAAAUCUGAAUAUCAUUUUAGACUUUAGUGUGCGAAUCGCGCGAGGUUUUCUUUUGUUGGAAUUAAAAACCAUUGCGGUUGCUGGGAGCCGC
RNA transcript from Arachis stenosperma, 1472 nucleotides. It is a transcript of the gene named ACT domain-containing protein ACR11-like, with no coding region annotated. The transcript is spliced from 11 exons. NCBI's taxonomy places the organism in Eukaryota, Viridiplantae, Streptophyta, Magnoliopsida, Fabales, Fabaceae. The record is from RefSeq and is a predicted model, not a curated record.